UGAGAUGAAACUUCUUCCAGAUUGUUACACGCUGCAUUUAAAAGAAAAGAUGUGAUGUGAUUUGUUGACAAAAAAUAUCUUUUUCUUUAUAAUAUACAUAAUUUUAAAAAAAUAGUAUUACCUCACAAAGGAUGAUUUCUUUUACCAUCUUGCGAAAGAGGUUAGCUGGACCACAUGACCAGCGGUGCUGCUGAAAUCUGUAAGCCUUGAAGGUACUCGGGAGUUCGUUCUUGACCUAAAUGAACUAUGUUAUGAAUCUGAUAUAUAGAGGUUUCUAGGCAUUUCCAUAAAUAAGAAUUUUUGAAGUAAUAAACUCACAGCUAAGUCGCCCACAAACAAAAAUUUCCAGCCCUUAAGGCUAGCCCUGACUGCAAGAUCCAUGUCCUCUACUGUGGUCCUGUCUUUCCAUCCACCAGCAUCAUUCACUGCUCGAAUUCUCCACACGCCAGCAGUCCCUACAAUUCAACCCAUAAAGCUAAUUACAUUCUCAAAAUAAUUUCUAGCUGUAAAUGCCUGUAUGUAGAGUAAGACCCGAAUCUUUGCUUACCGUUGAACCCAAAAAAUGAACAUGUUGACGAGCCAACUUCUUGCUCAACACUGAAAUGAUAGUCCAGUGACAUCUCUUGAAGUCGAGUCAUCAGACAUUCAUCUGCAUUGACUGUGGAAAGAUUUUCACUUACAUUAAUAACAAGUUAGGAAGAACUAGAAAUAUGGCUGAAGCUGUUAAUUCUGUUUCUAUGUAUUGAUUUAAGUACGCUUUGCUUCUGAUAUUUUCUUUUUUAGAUAAAUCUUUUCAUGUAAAGUUCUUUGAGUGAGAUGGAAACAGCACAAAACAAUCCUCUAAUCAUAAAAGGGACACAAUCACAAUUUAUUAUCACAGACAUAGUAAUCCAAUAUUCUUUAAUUUUCACCUCUUUUGAACUACUUUAAAUUUUGUUUGUUUUUUGAGUUUAUGACCAAUUAUUCAGUGUCUAUAUGGACAUAAUGCUGUUUUGGCGUUACCAAAUUUCCAUCUGGCUUGAACCAGACCCAGUUCUGGGUUAUUGAGAAGAUACGGUAUGGUCCUCCAAAGAAAGUCUUCUUCAGGCUGAAAGUCUGCAUCGAAGAUCACAACAAACUCACAGUCAUCCACAUACUGCUUCUUUAGACCCUCCUUGAGAGCACCAGCUUUGUAGCCAUUCCUGUUGUUUCUUGUUUCGUAUUUCACGUUUAUCCCUCUCUCUAUCCACUUUCGGCACUCCAAGUCCACUAAUGUCUGCAAUUAUAUUCUCAAACAUUAAUUAAGUUCAUAAGAUUCUUAGAUUUUGCUCUCAGAUAAAGUGAGUUGAAAGAGAUACCCUUAAAACUUCGUUGGUGGAGUCAUCAAGCACCUGCACUAUGAGCCUAUCUGAUGGCCAUGACAAGCCACAUACAGCUCCAAUUGAAAGCUUGUAAACCUGAUUAAAAAACAAUAAGAUGAGUAAUGGUUAUUCUUUUGUAGAGAAAGUUCAUAUCCCUAUCCAUCUGCUGUUCAUAACUGCAGAAAAUAUCUGGAUUUGUAUAGUAAGUUCAUAUCCUUAUUCCUUUCAAUGUCCUGACUUCUUCGUUUGACCUUGUUAGCCAAUUACCAUUGACCUUUGAGAUCUAUUUAAUUACUUAGUCUCUUGGUCUCUUGCUUUUAAAAUGAUGGUGUUGUAGCAGUACUCAACAGAGAAAAGUUUAGUUCUUUGCUGGAUGGUCCAGAUAAGGGGGAAGCUGGGAAGGGGAAGGGUGAGAGAAGAACAAAUAUUUCUCCUUUAGCGGUGAAGGUAAAAUCCUCCCAUGAACUUUCACUUGAUACUCGGAUAUGGGUGUACACUGUGUGUUGUUUCUAGGUUUUUGAUUAUUGAUGGCUGUGAGAAACGAAAUUGUACUUUCUUUUUCUGAUUAACUAAAUUUUUUUCAGUUUUGAGAUCAUUCAAUGUUAGUGAUUUAUUCUCUAAAAAUUCCUCUCAAGAUGGAAAAAAUAUAACUGAUGAUCAGAAAAAAGAAAGAGCGAUGGAAACAGGCAUAUUCGCAGUUUCAUCUAGGGAAAACUGAAACACAAUGCUAAACAAUAAUCAUGUAUGCAUAAGUUUAAAUCUCUGGAGCUUGAUCAGAAAAGACAUAUACUCAAGUAAAGUAUGUACCUCCUUUUCGUUGAACAUAGGAAUUUGGACUAACACCAUUGGGUAGUUUUUGUUUUUCUCUAGGUCUUCUCUUAUGGACUCGAGCUUAUACUUGGUAUAUCUUUUCUUUCCGAAGCACUUGACCCCUGCUAUCACUAUUGCCAUAUAAAUACGCUCAAGAAAGAGCAUGAUGGACAUCGCUAUGCAUAGAUACAUUGCAAAGUGUAGAGCAGGGACUACUACUGGAACUCGUAUUCGCUCCCAAGCAUUAUUUAGACUUUGAGUAGUAUUGGUGCUUACUCUGAGCCCAGGAUCUUGGAAAACGAGAUUUCUCAUGGUUUGUGCUCGAGCUGCUAUAUGGAGGACCUGAGUUCUGAGUUUAGUAAGAGAGCAGAGCACUUUAGGUUGAAAGGAAUGAUCUUGCCCUGCAAGGACAUAGAGAUGGAGUGAGAUUGUGGUGAACUGUAGGAUGCCGGUUUUGUUGCUUUAAAUAAAGAUGAAGUGUGAUUGUGGUGAAGGUGAAGAUAGUAAAUAGAGAUGAGGUGGAGUGGUGUCGUAGAUUGAGUAAUCCAUUUAAAUAGAGUUCUUCUAUGCGAGAGACACACGGUCUACAUGCACUCAAGGUGCUGCAACGUAUCAUCUUGCUAGCUGUAGUUCUGUCUUUUCUCUCCGACAAUGCUGUUGGAGGAUCUGAACAUAAACAUACGUGUUAAACUUUUCUUUCCGAUAAUAAAGAUUAAGUUUUGAAUGAUUAUAUGUACAUCAUACCCAGUGUAAUCCCACAAAGUGGGGUCUAGGGAUGGUAGAGUGCGCUCAGACCUUACCUCUACCUCAAAGAUUGAGAGGUUGUUUCCUAUAGAACUGAAGCUCAACGAAUGGUUUAUAUCUAUUUAGGUAUUUAAAGAGAAGUGCAUAAGAGAAGAAUUUCACAAAUUGCUUCUUAACUCCCUCAAUCCUUUUGUAUAAGUUGUCAUCUUCUCUCACUAUUGUCGAUAUCCCUUUUUUAGCUCCUAAUUUACUUUUCUUAGAGUACUAGUGGUAAUUCUGAUCUAGAUCAGAAACAAAACGCUUAGCUUAAUAGGACUACGUCGUUUUAUCCUGGCACCGACAGUAAGUGAUUGCUUUUAAAAUCAUACUAUCAAAUGAAUGAAAAUUGCAGCUUACGCUUUGAAGUUCUUUACAGCUGGUAUAACUCUGUUUUUUCUGAAUGUAGAGCCAUGAAGUGAUGCAUAAAUCUAGCCUCAAAGAUGACACCCAUAGUUUGGAAUUAUGUGAAUAUAUAACAUAACACGUUUUGAGCGCGUCCAAGGGUAACAUUAUCAUCAACUCUUUGAAUUGUCAUCUAAAUCGUCGAUUCUUGUGUUUGAUUCUUAUAGUCCCGAUGGAUAUGUUGGUAAGUGGUUAGAUUUAUUUAAAUGUUUAUAAUUACCUUAUGAAGGGUGACUUUCCUAAUUAUUCAUGGCUGUCAAUAAUUCUUUAGAAAGUAUGAACUUUGCUUUAAAUACGUCACUCGUUGAGAGCAAUAAAUUUCUAACUAAGCUAUGUCCAAUUUUGUUUAUAUCAAUAGAUUGUUGGUUAACCUGGCUGAUUUGGUUACUCAAUCUGUCAACUUUCCUGCACCAAAAUGUUGUUAAGUUAGUUGAACUUAAAAGCAAAUCUAAUCUGUUUGUGACAAACAUCAUGGUAAAAAUUUUACCCGUGUAUUUGCACCAAACUAGUGAAUGCUAGACAUGUCUCUUUCAUAUUUACAUUCAGCGAUUAAUCAUGGUUAAGUUGUAUGCAUUCUCAUUCUAAUGCUUAACUACUAAGGUUAACAUACUUGAUUUGUAUAAUCAUCCGGUGUGAGUAUGUAUUUACCCAAACUUCACUUCAUAUGAAACAGGAAUAUUGAGCUUAACUAGCACGUCUAUUUACGUUUAGCACUCCAUAAAUUGAUGUAUUUUGAAAAUAAAAGUAUGGUGCUUGCCAUUUUCGUUUUACUAAUUUCGAGUCUUUUGGUUGUGUACUGAUAACCACUAAACUUAGUAAUCCUAUAUAUUGUCAUAUAUAAGUUGUCCUGAGUUUGAGCCGAGGUUCCUCCAGAAACAACCUCUCUACCUCGACGAGGUAGGGGUAAGGACUGUGUACACUCUACACACCCCAGACCCAACUUGUGGGAUUUCGUUGGGUAUGUUGUUGUUGCUGUUGUUAUUGCAUAAGUACUUGGAAUAGAUUUCGGUAUUGUUGAUGCUUUGUUUUUUAUAUUCUCUUCGUAGUACUCCAAACUAUAUUCCUUUUUGGGAAUGUGAUGGUUGUGAUUGUGGGGAAUUAAGUAAUAACAAAAACAAAAUUGGACCAGCUACCUUAGGUUCUUAAGCCACUUCAAGUGCAGUUAAGAUUCUAUAAGUUCAUAUCGUCCUGGAAAUCUCCUCCACAAUGCGUAGCAUAACUAAGAUUUCUUGAGAUCUCCAAUGCUAUUUCCAUGUGAUUAUGUGAAAAAUCUAUUUUUAAAGUUGUAGACUUCAAGAUCUUGUGAGGAUAUGAUAUCUGCUGUCAUAUCUAUGAUCUUGAACAACCAUCUCUAUUAUACAAGUUAAAUAGUGAAAAAUAAGCACAUAGGCGCUAAAAAUACAGUUUACAAUCCCUUAAUGCUGCGGAGUAGAAAUAGUGGACUUCUUAGGAGUUUUGUAAUUAAUGUUUCCUCAGCAUUAAGGAUAUGCUGGCCACCUCCAAAACUGUGUGAUUACAUUGUUCUUUGCACCAAAAACAUAGAGAGAUAAUACAAUUCCAUUUGAUCAGCCUCCGAAAAUCCUUUCAUUUCUCUCCUUCCAUAUGUUCCACCAAAUGCAGGCUGAUACUGUUUUCACCAGAUAAAAGUUAGUUUCUAGUGACCUAUGUAUGAGCAAUAUCUGUUUUUCCGGGGAAGACAUUAGUGAGUCCUGUAUAUUACAUGUCGAACACUGAUUAUAUAUUUUGUUUCUAGAGGUUUAGUUUCCAUUUCUAGAAUAGUAUCGACUAUAUUGUUCAAACACUUCUAAUUGUUUUUUCUGUAAUGUCAUGUUGGGUGAUGCGGCCAAAUUGGUACUGAUUAUGUAUAUCGUGGAUAUACGUCCUACUUUUGAUAAUUUACAAUAUGGUACAGCAGUCCUCUUGUUUAAAAAUCUGACAUGUUUUCAGAUGCAAGUGGUUUCUUUCUUUCCUUUGUAAUUUAAAACAUCUAAAGGUUUCGAAGUAUUAAAGUAAAACAACUUAUGUCUUGUGGUUACUUGAUAAUAAUCCAAUAUAUUAGUAUUUCCAUCUUCUCUUUUGUUUAUUGCUAUAAACUAGAUCUAAGCAAUCUUUCCAAACAAAAUAACGAAACAUACAUCCAUUACAAUCUAUCUUCUUUUCUGUUACUUUUAAGAAUGAUGUAUUUUUGUUGGAUCGGAGCAAAACCCGUGCUACAGAAAUGAUUAGAGUAGUUUUAAGAAUCUUGGCCUUGAGUUCAAUUCUAAAUUCUUGUGCUGUUGUGCAUGCUCCACAUUUUACCCCGUCCUUAAUGCUGAAUGCAGCUGUGUGGGGUCACACCUUUUUAUAUCUCAACCCUUACUUUCAUGUUCAUCAAUCUUGAACCUGAUAUCAUGCCUAUGCGGCUAAUCAAUCAGAGCACAUGAAUAUCCCAAUUUGUUGGGCGAACACUGGUUACUAUAAUGGUUCGUUCUUUUACCUGACUCGAUUGUUGAUCAUCAAAGAUUAGUUUGUGCAUCUGUUGAUGGGUGCCUGUGAUUAUUGUUUGGACGGAUACAUCAUGCGACAUCUAAUGAUCAUGGAGGAGUGCUGGUAUGCUUUAGUGAGAAAUCUAUCACAUCUAUGCGUUCUUAAUGUAUUCAUUCAUUGACAGCUUACCGCUUUGUAAAAGACCUUACAAACAACAAAAGGAUUCGACUCGGGGAAUAAGCAUUGUAUCUGACGGUCUAUCAUUUCCCAUGCCAUGUGGUAAGCAUAACAAAUUACGAAUUCAUUGCCUUUACUACAUGAAACUACUAUAACUUCUGCUGCCCCAAGUGUGUAUUCCUAUACAUGUUUCUUGUAAUGUCUUUCUGGGCCAGCAGGUUAGUCAUAGAUGUAUUUACGUGGUUGAGGUUCACCGUUGUCUUGAAAUAUGGAGAACUGGAUAAUCUACUCGAAUAUGCAGUUUAGCUUCCGAGAUAUUGUUGUUCAAUUACCUACCUAGUAUGCCUUCGUUAUAUGUUGGUGUUGCAGGGGAGCAGCCAUUUCCUUUUUUUCCUGACACUAGCAAUUACUAUGAGCAAAAAUCAAGUUUGUAGUAUAUGAUCUCUUCUUUUCCAUUUCUAAGUGCAGAUUCAUGCAUCUUUUUCUGCUUUUUAAUUUAGUUAUUAGCUUAUUUUUUAAUGUGUUCCCUAAGAAGGUGAUCUAUGUUCUUGUUCAUGUCAAAUGCCAAUCUCUGAUAAAUUAGAAGAGUAAUUACUUCUGUCCCACUGUUAGUCUGGUGGAAAUUUUUUUUGUACAAAGAUUCACACUAAAGGCAGUUUCAGCUUAACGAGGACAUGACCUUAGGUAGGAGGUUGUGGAGGAUACGGAUUAAGGAAGAAGGUUAGUCUGCCUAUACUAGCAGUCGUAAUAUUACUAGUGUAGUUUCUUGUCCUUCGAUUUCUGUUGCUAUCUCUUGUUUCUUAUACUUAUUGCAUUUCUCUAUCUCAGGAGUCGGGUUUAUCGAGUUCGAUAUGGCGAAUUCGUAGGUUCAAUUCCUGCUGGAUGCACCUGAACCUGAAGUGAAAUCGCUGCUCACGGAAUUCAUACAUAUAGCUCGCCCUUCUUUAUGGGGCACUUCACUCGCUCAACACUCGUUCAAAACAUCCCGACUAUCGUAUUAUAUUGUUGUAGUACUAUCUGUUCACUAUCUUUAUUAUCUGUCUUUUCGUAUACUUCCAUUACUUAUUUUUUUGGACUGCUUUGGACUUUCUUUCUUGAGCUUAGGGUCUAUCUGAAACAACCUCUCCAGACCCACUUUGUGGGACUACGCUGUGUAUGUUGUUGUUUUUUCAAUAAAGGCAGUGAACAUCCAAACAGAUUAUUUGUUUCA
Capsicum annuum is the source of this 7188-nucleotide long non-coding RNA. RefSeq lists it as uncharacterized. NCBI's taxonomy places the organism in Eukaryota, Viridiplantae, Streptophyta, Magnoliopsida, Solanales, Solanaceae. The transcript is spliced from 2 exons. The record is from RefSeq and is a predicted model, not a curated record.